UUAAAUUGAAGAGUUUGAUCAUGGUUCAAAUUGAACGAUGGCGGCAGGCCAAACACAAGCAAGUCAAACAGUAACAAUAAACAACUCGCUGCUUAGACCACGCGAGACGGA
Molecule: ribosomal RNA, 111 nt
Filed under: Shigella sonnei
Lineage: Bacteria; Pseudomonadati; Pseudomonadota; Gammaproteobacteria; Enterobacterales; Enterobacteriaceae
Description: partial 16S ribosomal RNA
Source: RNAcentral